CUUGUUUGGGAUUACUUCUAUACGACAGUAGGUGUGAGCUUUGGGACAUACAAUCUUGCCAUAGUCUCACAGCUUCAGGAAAUCUUUGAUGCAGAUUGGAACUCUCCUUACACAGUUCCAGUUGAACCAUUAGAUGGAGCCUAGGUUUAUUCAAGCUGAUGAACAGUGAGUUCAUCUAAGAUGAC
Telopea speciosissima is the source of this 185-nucleotide long non-coding RNA. RefSeq lists it as uncharacterized. Lineage: Eukaryota; Viridiplantae; Streptophyta; Magnoliopsida; Proteales; Proteaceae. The transcript is spliced from 4 exons. The record is from RefSeq and is a predicted model, not a curated record.